This 431-nucleotide ribosomal RNA is filed under the name uncultured bacterium. Its description in RNAcentral is "partial 16S ribosomal RNA". It matches the Rfam family "Bacterial small subunit ribosomal RNA", at positions 29 to 507 of the family's 1533-position model. The record is from RNAcentral.
AACGAACGCUGGCGGCAGGCUUAACACAUGCAAGUCGAGCGCCCCGCAAGGGGAGCGGCAGACGGGUGAGUAACGCGUGGGAACGUACCUUUUGGUUCGGAACAACUCCGGGAAACUGGAGCUAAUACCGGAUAAGCCCUAACGGGGAAAGAUUUAUCGCCGAAAGAUCGGCCCGCGUCUGAUUAGCUAGUUGGUGAGGUAACGGCUCACCAAGGCGACGAUCAGUAGCUGGUCUGAGAGGAUGAUCAGCCACACUGGGACUGAGACACGGCCCAGACUCCUACGGGAGGCGGCAGUGGGGAAUAGUGGACAAUGGGCGCAAGCAUGAUCCAGCCAUGCCGCGUGAGUGAUGAAGGCAUUAGAGUUGUAAAGCUCUUUUGUCCGGGAAGAUAAUGACUGUACCGGAAGAAUAAGCCCCGGCUAACUUCGUG